Molecule: non-coding RNA, 74 nt
Organism: Dendrothele bispora CBS 962.96
Lineage: Eukaryota; Fungi; Basidiomycota; Agaricomycetes; Agaricales
Source: the annotation of a GenBank genome assembly
GGUUCGAUGGCGUAGUUGGUUAUCGCAUCUGUCUAACACACAGAAGGUCCCAGUUCGAAUCAUGCUAUGGGUUA